Molecule: long non-coding RNA, 463 nt
Organism: Spea bombifrons (plains spadefoot toad)
Lineage: Eukaryota; Metazoa; Chordata; Amphibia; Anura; Pelobatidae
Exons: 2
Source: RefSeq, a predicted model, not a curated record
UAAAUCUAUUCGUUCAAAUUCCAUAGAAAGAUUUUUCUUCUACUACUCUCUGCAGUUCUUUAUUUAUAGCACCGUAAUAGCAUGUUAUCUCCAAGCCAUUCUUAAAUUGCCAAUCUGCAUGACAUAGCUGUAACUAGUUUAUACCCAAUGGCCUUACUAAGAUUCACAAUUUUUCUGCAUAGCAGUUGUUUACGAUAAAUGUUGAUAACAAACCACAUGUGCUGUUUAGCACUAAAAUAUUAACAUUGCGUGAUUACAGUUCAGAGGUACACAGAGAUCAUUUAGAAACUCUUCAUGUAUAUUAUAGCAUUCACUUGACACAUACAAUAGAUUGUUCAUGCUGUGCCCGGUGGGGGCGGGUGGUUAACAAUUGAUGCUAUGUGUGGGAGGGAGAGUUUGGGUUGGGACUGCCAAAUAGUGGUGUGUGCAGUGGGUAAGGUGGGUUGGGAUGCUAUAAGAAAAA